UCUCCUUGUCCAAAUCUAAAUAGGACUGCAUAUAUUUUAUAUAAAAAAACAACAUAGCAAUUUCUGCCUUUGCCUGGAUCAAACUUUCGUCUGGCCCCUCUCUAACCAUCCCGAUUCGAAAUCAAAUAGAUCAAAUAGAUUUCCUUAGGUCACCUAAAUCAAUCAGCAAGCGGGGUGCUAGAGAAAGGGACCAAACCGAGACUGAACCAAAAUUCCCACAUCCAUCCAAAUCCAAACCAAAGUCGGAACUCUUGAAAGACGGCAACUUAUAAAAUCAAAUCAAUAGGCGUUGACGACCUCGGUGAUGCGGUCGUACAACAUCACGGAAGCGCACCGAGUCAGGCCUACUUUGGCAAUUCGGGGUUAUUAGCCCAGGGAACAAAACAGAGGGGAGGGAUUUUUUUUUUUUUUUUACAUGUAGAUCCCCCUGUUGGGAUUCCACGUGGGGGGUUAUUUCCCGGCUGCUGUUUGGAAGCAGCUGCAGGGGAGAGAUGGAUGCAUGCAUGCACGAUCAGCUUGAGCAGCUCCAGCAAGCAGCAUACAUGCACGGAUUAGUUUUUCGUGAUGACUUGUGAUUCUGUGCUGUACAUCUACAAUGUCUAUGAUUCCAGAAACAAGUCUUGGCUUAUUUGAUAAGUGUACUAUAGAUAUAGUAGUAUAAAAGCGUCUUAAAAAAUAAGAAAAUUCAAAAAACAAACAAAGUCAUUACAUAUCAAUGCUAGCAUCUCAUAGUGAUAGAAAAAUCUCAAUAAUAAGUAUGUUUACAUAAAAAUAUAUAGGCGUUUCAAACUGAAAUCAAGUCUUUGCACAACUACAUAGAAGCCAGAAAUAUCAGCUAUCAUUAUAAAAUUUGACCACACUUCACUUGUCUCAAAUAUGCAUUUGUUCCACCAAAACCUCUGCAAAUAACAUAACGAAAAUAGUAAGCCCUUGUAACUGAUUUUUUCCCACAAGUUUGUAUAUGAAUGCAUCAUAUAAAAAAAGAAGGUUAAAGAAUAAAGUUGCAGCAAGCUAACACAUGCAAAUGCAGUCUAGUUCUGACUAACCAGUGGAGGCUUUUCUUUUCUUUUACAUACACAAGCAUGGAGUCUAAUGGAAAAUUAUCUAGUGGCUACACCUGUCAACUAAGUUCCAAUUUAAUCAAUAUUUAGAAUUAAAAAAAAGGAGAUUCUGGCAAGUAGGACAAUCAUGUGUUCUCGGAGACAAACCGUACUUAACAAAUAUAUAGUACACAUCAGUUAAGCAUUAAAACUGAACCUAAACCUGAACUUGAUUACUAAUGUUGGUUGUUGCAACUAAAUAGACUUAAAUAAAAUAACCAAACCUGAACAGAACCUUUACCCAAUAGACUAGACUAAGACUACUAAACUAAACUAAACCAGAACUUGAUCAGUUGAUCCUGAUUACUGCAACUAAAUUUAACUAAAUCUGAACCUGAAACUAAAACUUAAACCUUAAAUCAAUGCAUAUGCAAAAGCAGUUCCAAUUUAAUUAACUUAAUAUAUUAAAAGUAACAAACUGAACUACGACAUCACAUAUGCAAAAUGUCUUGUACAGGCAAAAUAUGUAGUUACUAGCACAUCAGGUUCUUAAAAAGAUGAUAUAAUGUCUUGUACAAGCAAUGACAUGCAACAUUGGCAAGUGCAAGCUGUUGUUCAAACAAUAUACCUGCAUACAAUGACUGCAGGUGCCCUUUUCUUCUCAAUUCAAAUAUUGCCUCCACCAACAUUGCCUCCACUGAUAGAACUGCAAGUAAGCACAAGGAAAAGCAUUAGCAGGUAAGGCAUCCCAAAGUAAACUAAUCUAUUGGCAGCUAAGCAUUACCUAAUAUGCUGUUUGAGCCAAAUCAAGCGAACAUUUUUUAAUCAUUUAUCAUAUAGGAAAAGCUCUGUUUAUUCAACACAAAACUAGCAAUAACUGAGCGUUCAGUCAAGUUCGUUCAGUCAAGUUGCUAAGAUCCAGACAAUUAAAUUUCACUCUUGCACGCGUUCAGUUAGCUUACUAUCAACAAGCCAUGUCCAGUUUGCCAUAGAAAACAGUAUCCAUCUCACUAAAAGAUGCAGCAGGCAAUAAGCAUGCAGUUAAGUACCUGGCAAAGAGGAGAAGUGGCAACAACACUUUAAUUUUCCAGCGGUAACCAUUUAGCGUUAAUAACAUGAAAAGUUCUUAAAAGAUUCUAACAUAGUACCUCCAGUGGUCAAUCUAAUAUGUACAAUAACAUUACUAAAAACUGGAGCUAGACCAAAUUACUUGCACAGGGCUUCUCAACUUCUCAUAAGGAGUAAGGGAACCUUCAUUUACAGAUGUAUGUCACAGCAGUAUGUGCAAAACAAAAAAAAAAUUCUCCAGUUUCAAUGACUAAAAUACAUAAAAUAUUUGCUCAAACAUACCAGUAGGUUUAGUAUCAAAAUAAAUGUCAUAAUAAUAAAGAAGAGAGUAUUUCUAAACUACCAAAACAGAAGAUGGAGCUACAAGUUUACUAUUCAUUAUGGUUCUAUAAUUGCGUACUUUUGAGUGUGAAUCAGUAGCUGUUGCGUCUAGCUAGAAUAACUUUCCAAUCAUCAUUCAUUAUAUCUGCCCACCAAUCAUUUUGUUUAGCAGUCUCAUCAGAUGUCAUAGCAGGACAUAUACUCUGGAUUUGAUUAUCAUCAGGUGCAGCAAUAUUAUCUGUGUAGAGUGGUGAAACAUCCAUAGAAGAUCUGAACCAGGCUGCCUCAGUGUGUGUUCUUGGGGUAGUAUCAGAUAGAGACUUGAAAGAUCCAAAACUGGAUGACUGAGAAAAUAUAGGGUGCAACCAUUGACUGGCUAUCAUGGUUAGACACAGAAUCAAGUGGACUAGCAGAGUAUCCUGAAUAUGGUGCCCCGAUAACACCAGCUCUUGGGUGCAAACUAGCAGACUAAUAUAUGUCAUUACGCAAGGGCAUAGAGUCAUCAGGCUUUGGGAAUAUGCAGUGGUCAAAGGAUUUGGCAGAAUAGACAAAGAGGAUGAAGGAUGACAUUGCUCCCAAAACUCUGCUCUUUUGAGACUGCAUCAGAUUAAAAGUUAAUCUCACGGGCAGCGGCCUCAGCUACUCCAAGUUCUCACGCCAGCUAGUCACCGGCGGCAAGAACCAGUUGGCUCGUAGAUCUACGAAAACCCUAGUGGAUCCAAAAACUACUGCAACAAAGGAGAUGAGGUGCCCUAACCUUCGAGACGGAUGACAAUGGCGGUAGAGGUGGAGAUGGCGACGGCGAACGAGGAACAAGACGGCGGACGAGGACCGAGACGGCGGCGGUGGAGGAGCGCCCGAGCUGACCCCUGCGUCGACGUCGGAAGCACAAGAGAGGCUAGCGAGGUGGAGGGAUGUCGCGGUGAUGCACGGAUGCCGGGGCGAGGACGGCCGGAUGCUGUGGCGGCGGUUGCGUCGUGAGCGGAGGAAGAAGCGUCGCGAGCCGCGAGCGGAGACGCCGGCCGAAUGGGUCGCGUAUUUCUUCCUCGUGGAAAUCGCUGGGAAGCGGGCUGCAAUUCUAGUCUUGGUGGGCUGCCAAAGGGUGCAUGAUUUUGGCCCAGAAAAGGCUGCCACGGGAGAGGCUGGCUCAGGAAAAAGGCCGAGAUCCCUGGGAAAUUGGGCUGCCAAAAGAGGCCUCAGUGUUGUGUCGGGGGCGAGCACGUCGGACACACCAUGGUCAUAGAAGCCUCACGUGCGUUCCCCUCUAUCAACGCUGCGAGCGCUGAUUGGCGGCACAACACAGUAGCAAGAGGGCGACGGUCGAGCGGCAUCACACCAAGGUAGCAAAAGAGACAACGGGUAUGAUGCUCUGCAAACAAGAUGGAUGGUUCGACUGGGAUCUGGGCCGCAGGAGGUUGCGGCGCGCCGGGAGGGGAGGAGCGGCGGUAGGCUGGCCAGAAGAAGAGGGAGGGCGGGGCUACAGUGGAGGAUUUGUGGGGGACAUACUGAGGCCGGCUGCCGAGCCAUAG
This 3958-nucleotide long non-coding RNA is filed under the name Sorghum bicolor (sorghum). Its description in RNAcentral is "long non-coding RNA (SBIC_LNC016553)". The record is from RNAcentral. Lineage: Eukaryota; Viridiplantae; Streptophyta; Magnoliopsida; Poales; Poaceae.